CCUACGGGUGGCAGCAGUGAGGAAUAUUGGUCAAUGGACGAGAGUCUGAACCAGCCAAGUAGCGUGAAGGAUGACUGCCCUAUGGGUUGUAAACUUCUUUUAUAUGGGAAUAAAAUGUUCCACGUGUGGGAUUUUGUAUGUACCAUAUGAAUAAGGAUCGGCUAACUCCGUGCCAGCAGCCGCGGUAAUACGGAGGAGCCGAGCGUUAUCCGGAUUUAUUGGGUUUAAAGGGAGCGUAGGUGGAUUGUUAAGUCAGUUGUGAAAGUUUGCGGCUCAACCGUAAAAUUGCAGUUGAAACUGGCAGUCUUGAGUACAGUAGAGGUGGGCGGAAUUCGUGGUGUAGCGGUGAAAUGCUUAGAUAUCACGAAGAACUCCGAUUGCGAAGGCAGCUCACUGGACUGCAACUGACACUGAGGCUCGAAAGCGUGGGGAGCAAACAGGAUUAGAUACCCCAGUAGUC
RNAcentral lists this ribosomal RNA (460 nucleotides) under uncultured bacterium. Its description in RNAcentral is "partial 16S ribosomal RNA". It matches the Rfam family "Bacterial small subunit ribosomal RNA", at positions 338 to 795 of the family's 1533-position model. The record is from RNAcentral.